AGUUUCUCUCAACACCCUGUGUGCCCUGCUCCUUCUGGGUAGAACUUGAGACUUCAUUCUUACCAGCUUUGAGAGAUGGAGGCAGGCUGGCCGACCUUACUCUCCUGCUGCUAUGCCUCUCGCCAUCACGGACUCUGUCCCUCUGGAACCGGAAACCAAAACAAACCUUUCUUUGCUUCUUCACUGGCUUCUGGCCGUGGCAUUUUACCCUGGCAAUGGAAGAGCAGCCAGCAGUGUCCGACUCUGCCGUCUCUGAUCCAGACAACCCUAGCUCUGUGUCUUCCGUCUCACCAUUUGUCGUGCCCUGACCCACGAGUGUGAAUAGAGGAGACAAGUGGGUGUACAGAUGAAUUGCCGGGUUCUUUGCCUGUGUCCACCCAGAUCUCUAAGUUCCUUGCCGGUGCCCCCCACCCUGGAAACUGCAAGUGUUGGGUGGAGGUUGCCAGGAAGACACGAGGCUUUCUGAGCAAACGUGUGGAUGGCGCUGCCAAGGCAGAGGUACAGGUGGCCAUAUGAAAAUCUCCUUCCUGGAUCAUGUCUUCUGUGUCAUUGACUUCAUUCAAUAUGUUUCCUGGCCUGAUGAUUCAAAGAACACCAAGGCACAGCAAAAGAGCAUCCACUGAAUAUAAUCAGGAGUUACCUACUUGAGCUAUAAC
Molecule: long non-coding RNA, 656 nt
Organism: Mus musculus (house mouse)
Lineage: Eukaryota; Metazoa; Chordata; Mammalia; Rodentia; Muridae
Product: predicted gene 4470
Exons: 5
Source: RefSeq, a predicted model, not a curated record